RNAcentral lists this ribosomal RNA (560 nucleotides) under uncultured bacterium. RNAcentral's name for it is "bacterial SSU rRNA". It matches the Rfam family "Bacterial small subunit ribosomal RNA", at positions 338 to 917 of the family's 1533-position model. The record is from RNAcentral.
CCUACGGGAGGCAGCAGUGGGGAAUAUUGGACAAUGGGGGCAACCCUGAUCCAGCAAUGCCGCGUGUGUGAUGAAGGCCUUAGGGUUGUAAAGCACUUUCACUGGUGAAGAUGAUGACGGUAACCAGAGAAGAAGCCCCGGCUAACUUCGUGCCAGCAGCCGCGGUAAUACGAAGGGGGCGAGCGUUGUUCGGAAUCACUGGGCGUAAAGGGAGCGCAGGCGGUUCAUUAAGUUAGGCGUGAAAGCCCCGGGCUCAACCUGGGAACUGCGCUUAAUACUGAUGAGCUAGAAAACAGGAGAGGGUAGUGGAAUUUCCAGUGUAGAGGUGAAAUUCGUAGAUAUUGGAAAGAACACCGGUGGCGAAAGCGGCUACCUGGCCUGAUUUUGACGCUGAGGCUCGAAAGCGUGGGGAGCAAACAGGAUUAGAUACCCUGGUAGUCCACGCCGUAAACGAUGACAGCUAGAUGUCGGGGGGUCGCCCCUCGGUGUCGCCGCUAACGCAUUAAGCUGUCCGCCUGGGAAGUACGGUCGCAAGAUUAAAACUCAAAUGAAUUGACGGA